This 1036-nucleotide ribosomal RNA is filed under the name Pilulina argentea. RNAcentral describes it as "partial small subunit ribosomal RNA". Lineage: Eukaryota; Foraminifera; Astrorhizida; Saccamminidae. The record is from RNAcentral.
AAGGGCACCACAAGAACGCGUGGAGCAUGUGGCUUAAUUUGACUCAACGCGGGAAAUCUUACCGGGUCCGGACACACUGAGGAUUGACAGGCAAUCAUGUGAAUUGUUUUUUUUUUUUAAAUUACAUUCMCAUAUAAAUAUGCUAGYCCUUUCAUGAUUAUGKGAUAGGUGGUGCAUGGCCGUUCUUAGUUCGUGGAGUGAUCUGUCUGCUUAAUUGCGUUUCAUACNGGACUUARAAAUCAAGUGUGUUUAUUUUUCUUGUGUGUUUUUUUAUUUUUAUAAUUUAUUAUAUUUAUAAAUUUGCAUGCUAUUUAUUGAAUAAAUAGAUACACAUCUAGUCCUGAAAGCAACGAACGUGACCGCAUCCUCUUGUUGCCUUUUAACUUAAGAUUUUUAUUUUUUUUUUAUUAAAAAUUUAAAAUAUUUUAUAACAUAAGAGUGCUUUAUAAAAACUAGAGGGACCGCUGUGACUUUUUAAACCAGAGGAAGGUUGCGGCAAUAACAGGUCUGUGAUGCCCUUAGAUGUUCCGGGCUGCACACGUGCUACAAUGAUUAUUGCAGUGAGCAUCUCAUUUAUAGCACUGGUUUCAUUUUAUUUUUUUAAAAUGACUUCAGUCAAAAGCCUGCUUCGAAAGUUCGCAGGUAAUCAAUUGGAAGUAAUGAUUUCCCUUAACUCGAAUUUAUUUUUGAUUUUGUGAGCACACAAUAUGCUGCUCCCCUCCCUGGAAUUUAGCUAUUUUUUGUCUAUUUUCCAUUGUGUGUGGGGAUGUUUCAGCAUGUGCUUUUUGUCAAUUCAUGGUGGGACAGACCAUUGUUAAUUGUUGGUCUCUAACUAGGAAUGCCUUGUACGGGUCUUUGGUUCAACAAACCACCCGGAAUACGUCCCUGCCCUUUGUACGCACCGCCCGUCGCUCUUACCGAUGGACUUCUCUGUGAGUUUGAGGGACUGGGUACCUUAGCUUUCUUUUUUUUAAGAAAACUAUAAUCACCUAUGGAAACUUAAACGAACAGUGUGGUCUAAAGGAAAGAGAAGUCG